UGGGGAUGACGUCAAAUCAUCAUGCCCCUUAUGAUUUGGGCUACACACGUGCUACAAUGGACAAUACAAAGGGCAGCGAAACCGCGAGGUCAAGCAAAUCCCAUAAAGUUGUUCUCAGUUCGGAUUGUAGUCUGCAACUCGACUACAUGAAGCUGGAAUCGCUAGUAAUCGUAGAUCAGCAUGCUACGGUGAAUACGUUCCCGGGUCUUGUACACACCGCCCGUCACACCACGAGAGUUUGUAACACCCGAAGCCGGUGGAGUAACCAUUUUGGAGCUAGCCGUCGAAGGUGGGACAAAUGAUUGGGGUGAAGUCGUAACAAGGUAGCCGUAUCGGAAGGUGCGGCUGGAUCACCUCCUUUCUAA
Molecule: ribosomal RNA, 365 nt
Filed under: Staphylococcus pseudintermedius
Lineage: Bacteria; Bacillati; Bacillota; Bacilli; Caryophanales; Staphylococcaceae
Description: bacterial SSU rRNA
Rfam family: Bacterial small subunit ribosomal RNA
Source: RNAcentral